GAUGAACGCUGGCGGCGUGCCUAAUACAUGCAAGUCGAACGAAACUUCUUUAUCACCGAGUGCUUGCACUCACCGAUAAAGAGUUGAGUGGCGAACGGGUGAGUAACACGUGGGCAACCUGCCCAAAAGAGGGGGAUAACACUUGGAAACAGGUGCUAAUACCGCAUAACCAUAGUUACCGCAUGGUAACUAUGUAAAAGGUGGCUAUACUACCGCUUUUGGAUGGGCCCGCGGCGCAUUAGCUAGUUGGUAGGGUAAAGGCUUACCAAGGCAAUGAUGCGUAGCCGAAUUGAGAGGUUGAUCGGCCACAUUGGGACUGAGACACGGCCCAAACUCCUACGGGAGGCAGCAGUAGGGAAUCUUCCACAAUAGGCGAAAGCCUGAUGGAGCAACGCCGCGUGGGUGAAGAAGGUCUUCGGAUCGUAAAACCCUGUUGUUAGAGAAGAAAGUGCGUGAGAGUAACUGUUCACGUUUCGACGGUAUCUAACCAGAAAGCCACGGCUAACUACGUG
This 512-nucleotide ribosomal RNA is filed under the name uncultured bacterium. RNAcentral describes it as "partial 16S ribosomal RNA". It matches the Rfam family "Bacterial small subunit ribosomal RNA", at positions 28 to 507 of the family's 1533-position model. The record is from RNAcentral.